RNAcentral lists this ribosomal RNA (251 nucleotides) under uncultured bacterium. RNAcentral describes it as "partial 16S ribosomal RNA". It matches the Rfam family "Bacterial small subunit ribosomal RNA", at positions 333 to 576 of the family's 1533-position model. The record is from RNAcentral.
AGCUUCCUACGGGAGGCAGCAGUAGGGAAUUUUCGUCAAUGGGCGCAAGCCUGAACGAGCGAUGCCGCGUGAACGAGGAAGGUCUUCGGAUCGUAAAGUUCUGUUGAAGGGGAAAAAGAGCGGAGAGAGGAAAUGGUCUCCGAUUGAUAUUACCCUUCGCGGAAGUCACGGCUAACUACGUGCCAGCAGCCGCGGUAAUACGUAGAGGGCGAGCGUUAUCCGGAAUGAUUGGGCGUAAAGCGUGCGUAGGC